UAGUACGGCGAGUGAGAGGGAAGAGCCCAAGAUUGAAAGCUGGCGCCUUCGGCGUCCGCAUUGUAAUCUCAAGAAGUGUUUUCCGCUUCGGACCAUGCCUAAGUCCCUUGGAAAAGGGCAUCAUAGAGGGUGAUAAUCCCGUACAUGGCAUGGAGCGCCCGAAGCUUUGUGAUACGCUUUCUAAGAGUCGAGUUGUUUGGGAAUGCAGCUCAAAAUGGGUGGUAAAUGCCAUCUAAGGCUAAAUAUUGGGGAGAGACCGAUAGCGAACAAGUACAGUGAUGGAAAGAUGAAAAGAACUUUGAAAAGAGAGUUAAACAGUACGUGAAAUUGCCAAAAGGGAAGGGUAGGAGGUCAGAGAUGCGUCGCAGGAUUCAGCCUUGCUUUUGCUUGGUGUUUUUCCUGCGUUGCAGGCCAACGUCGGUUUUGGGCACUGGAGAAGGGUAGGAGGAACGUGGCACCUCUCGGGGUGUGUUAUAGCCUCCUACUGGAUACAGCGACCGAGACCGAGGAACGCAGCGUACUCGUAAGAGCGGGCCUUUUGGCACCUUUACGCUUAGGGCGUUGGCAUAAUGGCCCUCUACCACCCGUCUUGA
RNAcentral lists this ribosomal RNA (593 nucleotides) under uncultured Pseudozyma. Its description in RNAcentral is "eukaryotic LSU rRNA". It matches the Rfam family "Eukaryotic large subunit ribosomal RNA", at positions 81 to 657 of the family's 3401-position model. The record is from RNAcentral. Lineage: Eukaryota; Fungi; Basidiomycota; Ustilaginomycetes; Ustilaginales; Ustilaginaceae.